UUUGAGUUUUUUGCUUCUCUGAUGCGUACUUACUUGCAUUCAAGCUCUGGUUAGGUGGGUAGAUAGCUCUCUCCCUCUUUUCCCUUCUGCUUUUGCUUUGUGUUCCUGUUCUCUGCUGUUUAAGCCGCGGUCGAGAGAUGGCAGAGGGAAGCGAUUUCAGGCAUUGGGACGAGCUAAUACCAGACGCUUUGGGGCUAAUCUUCAGUAAACUUUCACUCCAAGAGAAACUCACCGUUAUUCCUAGGGUCUGCAAAUCAUGGGCCAAAGCAGUACUCGGACCUUACUGCUGGCAAGAGAUUGAUAUUGAAGAAUGGAGCAGUCGAAGGCAACUCGACAAUGUUGAUCGAAUGCUUCAAAUGCUGAUAAAUCGAAGUGGCGGGUCGCUACGCAAGCUCUGCGUUACUGGUCUUCAUAACAGCAGCAUUUUCUUCUCCAUUGCUGAUCAUGCUGGUUCUCUUCAAACAUUGCGACUGCCAAGGAGCAAUAUAAGCGAUGCGGUAGCAGAACAAAUUGCCGGAAGGCUUUGUGCAGUUACUUUUUUGGAUCUAAGCUAUUGUGAUAAAAUCAGUGCCUGUGGUUUAGAGUCCAUAGGAAAGAAUUGCAAAGCUUUAGUUGGAAUGUGUCGUAACUUGCAUCCGCUACAUACAGCAGGUAUAUCCUCCCCUGACGAUGAAGCUUAUACUAUUGCAGCUACAAUGCCGAAACUCAAGCAUCUUGAAAUGGCUUAUCACCCUCUUAGCACCAAAAGUUUACUGACAAUACUUUCAAGUUGCCCCAACCUCGAGUUCCUUGAUUUGAGAGGGUGUUGGGAUGUAAGGCUAGAAGACAAGUUUCUUGCCGAGAAGUUCCCAAAACUAAGAGUUUUGGGGCCUCUCGUUAGGGACGUCUACGAGAGAAAUGAAUGGGAUGAAGGCUCAGACUACUCAUACAUAUCAGACGACUUGGCGUGGGACUUUUCUGCAGAUUACUUCGACGAUGCUGGUAGUUACGACGAUCCAUGGGACGAUGAAGGCAGACUAGAAGGACUAGAGUUGAGAUUUUAUGAAGGAAUUGAUGAAGAUAAUGAAGCCUUUGGUUGGCCUGCCUCCCCUUAACUGUGGAGAGUGAUGUUGUUUUUGGUUGUGAAACUGUUUGCUCUUUUUUUCCUUCUUCCUACUUGGUAUCAACUCGAUGCUUUUAGAACUUAUGUGGACUUGUAAAUUCUCUAAUAGAAAUUGAAGUGUGG
Molecule: unclassified non-coding RNA, 1225 nt
Filed under: Hevea brasiliensis (rubber tree)
Lineage: Eukaryota; Viridiplantae; Streptophyta; Magnoliopsida; Malpighiales; Euphorbiaceae
Source: RNAcentral